UGCGUAGGUGGGUUGGUAAGUCAGUGGUGAAAUCCCCGAGCUUAACUCGGGAACUGCCAUUGAUACUAUCAGUCUUGAAUACCGUGGAGGUCAGCGGAAUAUGUCAUGUAGCGGUGAAAUGCUUAGAUAUGACAUAGAACACCAAUUGCGAAGGCAGCUGGCUACACGAAUAUUGACACUGAGGCACGAAAGCGUGGGGAUCAAACAGGAUUAGAUACCCUGGUAGUCCACGCCCUAAACUAUGGAUACUCGACAUACGCGAUACACUGUGUGUGUCUGAGCGAAAGCAUUAAGUAUCCCACCUGGGAAGUACGAUCGCAAGAUUGAA
RNAcentral lists this ribosomal RNA (328 nucleotides) under uncultured Terrimonas sp. RNAcentral describes it as "bacterial SSU rRNA". It matches the Rfam family "Bacterial small subunit ribosomal RNA", at positions 568 to 898 of the family's 1533-position model. The record is from RNAcentral. Lineage: Bacteria; Pseudomonadati; Bacteroidota; Chitinophagia; Chitinophagales; Chitinophagaceae.